AUGCUGACGGCCAGACUGUGCAUUCCGCUGAUCGCGGCGGUGAUCCCGCGGAUUCUGACCGCCAACGUGGAGCAAUCGCCUUCCUCCCUGUCAGUCGCAGAGGGAGAGCCGGCCACUCUGUCGUGUACGCUGCUGAAUAGGGUGUAUACAAAUAUGUUCUGGUACAGACAGCGAUCCGGCCGGGCAAUUGAUGUUCUCUUCUAUUCUGCUGGGCAAGGUUCAGCUAUGAACUACACAUCUGAUUCCUACGCGGCGACCAGAUCCAGCGACUCUCUGUUUAAACUGGAACUGAGGUGGGCACCGUCCUUCCACUCCGCCGUCUACUUCUGCGCUUGUAGUAGCGCACAGAGCUUGAUGUAA
Hypanus sabinus (Atlantic stingray) is the source of this 360-nucleotide non-coding RNA. Lineage: Eukaryota; Metazoa; Chordata; Chondrichthyes; Myliobatiformes; Dasyatidae. The record is from the annotation of a RefSeq genome assembly.